AGACUAUGAUAUGGGUAGUGUCUUUGUUGAUCCUUGCAUCUUUCCCAAUCUCAUAUAAAGUUUCCCUAUCCCUCAUAGUAAAUGUGGCGAUGCCAUUUUUAAGUUU
Small nucleolar RNA from Mangifera indica (mango), 106 nucleotides. NCBI's taxonomy places the organism in Eukaryota, Viridiplantae, Streptophyta, Magnoliopsida, Sapindales, Anacardiaceae. The record is from RefSeq and is a predicted model, not a curated record.